Molecule: ribosomal RNA, 207 nt
Filed under: uncultured bacterium
Lineage: Bacteria
Description: partial 16S ribosomal RNA
Rfam family: Bacterial small subunit ribosomal RNA
Source: RNAcentral
CGCGUAGGUGGUUUGGUAAGUCAGAUGUGAAAGCCCCGGGCUUAACCUGGGAAUUGCUUCUGAUACUGCUGGACUAGAGUACGGUAGAGGGCAGUGGAAUUUCCGGUGUAGCGGUGAAAUGCGUAGAUAUCGGAAGGAACACCAGUGGCGAAGGCGACUGCCUGGACUGAUACUGACACUGAGGUGCGAAAGCGUGGGUAGCAAACA